CCUACGGGAGGCUGCAGUCGAGAAUCAUUCACAAUGGGGGAAACCCUGAUGGUGCGACGCCGCGUGGGGGAAUGAAGGUCUUCGGAUUGUAAACCCCUGUCAUGUGGGAGCAAAUUAAAAAGAUAGUACCACAAGAGUAAGAGACGGCUAACUCUGUGCCAGCAGCCGCGGUAAUACAGAGGUAUCAAGCGUUGUUCGGAAUCACUGGGCGUAAGGCGUGCGUAGGCUGUUUCGUAAGUCGUGUGUGAAAGGCGCGGGCUCAACCCGCGGACGGCACAUGAGACUGCGAGACUAGAGUAAUGGAGGGGGAACCGGAAUUCUCGGUGUAGCAGUGAAAUGCGUAGAUAUCGAGAGGAACACUCGUGGCGAAGGCGGGUUCCUGGACAGUAACUGACGCUGAGGCACGAAGGCCAGGGGAGCGAAAGGGAUUAGAUACCCUAGUAGUC
Molecule: ribosomal RNA, 446 nt
Filed under: uncultured bacterium
Lineage: Bacteria
Description: partial 16S ribosomal RNA
Rfam family: Bacterial small subunit ribosomal RNA
Source: RNAcentral